CGGGGCAUAGCUCAACGGCAGAGCAGCCGCCUUAUAAGCGGUUUUAGCGCCAGAUUAGCGCAAGGUUCUGGGUUCGAAUCCCAGUGCCCCGACCA
Molecule: transfer RNA, 95 nt
Filed under: Pyrinomonadaceae bacterium
Lineage: Bacteria; Pseudomonadati; Acidobacteriota; Blastocatellia; Blastocatellales; Pyrinomonadaceae
Description: tRNA-Ile
Rfam family: tRNA
About the family: Transfer RNA (tRNA) molecules are approximately 80 nucleotides in length. Their secondary structure includes four short double-helical elements and three loops (D, anti-codon, and T loops).
Source: RNAcentral